UACGAGAGGCGCAAACGUUAUUCGGAAUUACUGGGCUUAAAGAGUUCGUAGGCGGCGCAGAAAGUAGGGUGUGAAAGCCCUCGGCUCAACCGAGGAAUUGCGCUCUAAACUACUGUGCUUGAGGGACCUAGAGGUGAGCGGAACUGAUGGUGGAGCGGUGAAAUGCGUUGAUAUCAUCAGGAACACCGGAGGCGAAGGCGGCUCACUGGGGGUCUUCUGACGCUGAGGAACGAAAGCCAGGGGAGCGAACGGG
Molecule: ribosomal RNA, 253 nt
Filed under: uncultured bacterium
Lineage: Bacteria
Description: partial 16S ribosomal RNA
Rfam family: Bacterial small subunit ribosomal RNA
Source: RNAcentral